UGCGUAGGUGGUCUUUUAAGUCGGAUGUGAAAUCCCUGAGCUUAACUUAGGAAUUGCAUUCGACACUGGGAGACUAGAGUAUGGGAGAGGAUGGUAGAAUUCCAGGUGUAGCGGUGAAAUGCGUAGAGAUCUGGAGGAAUACCGAUGGCGAAGGCAGCCAUCUGGCCUAAUACUGACACUGAGGCACGAAAGCAUGGGGAGCAAACA
Molecule: ribosomal RNA, 207 nt
Filed under: uncultured Acinetobacter sp.
Lineage: Bacteria; Pseudomonadati; Pseudomonadota; Gammaproteobacteria; Moraxellales; Moraxellaceae
Description: partial 16S ribosomal RNA
Rfam family: Bacterial small subunit ribosomal RNA
Source: RNAcentral